UCUUAUGUAUUAGUUACCCGUAAUACAUUUCCCCAUCAAAUCCUAAAGUUAUCUCGCUAUAUACGCUUUUUGAGAAAGAAAUUAGACGACACACAUGAACAAGGACAUUUUUCAAACGGAUUCGGAUGCCAAAGUCCGUCACGUUCAGCAUCACCCAACAUCCAAGCAGGGGUGGUUAGCAUAGCAGCCCGCGCUUAACAAACCUUUUUUCACGUAGAUGAGACCCUGACGACGACUCUAUUAUGGCAUCACUUAUUGGCUUGAGAUUGUAUAAAUACUCCGGGUUACACCGAUUUGGGUGAUCAGUACGUCCCAAUACAUUCAGUCUGCAACAUGUCUUCUCUCAAUGCCACCCUUAGCGCUAUCGUCGUCGGUGCCCUGUGGAUUUUGAUUUUGGCGCCAGUCGAUCAGAUCCAUGGAACACCAACGGGGGCUCCUAUUGCUGCCUGCGAAUCCAUGACUCCAGGGCAUGGAUACGACGCCCAAAAUUCGGCAUCCCCCUUCAAAACGGAAAUUCCGACUGGGGAGACCGCCUUCAUGGACGACCCCGUCCAUCUGGAACUUCGCAGUCUCUCAUCCGGAACUUAUUUCAAAGGGUUCCUUAUUAUGGCGUUCGACAAGGACGACACUUCGGCCACUCCUAAACCCAUCGGCACUUUUAAAUUGAUCGAAGGCAGCGAUGGCCAACUCAUGGAUUGUUCCGGCAAAGUAUCGACCGCUGUUACACACACCAACAAUGUCGUGAAGAAUUUGGUGAGGAUCGACUGGCAACCACCCAAGUAUUACAUGGGUACAGCCAUCUUCAGGACCACCUUCGUCCAAGACGUUUCCACCUUUUGGGUCAAGACGGAGUCGAUUUCUGUCACUUUUGUGAUGCCCGACGGGAGCACCCACGAUCCCAUGAAAGCCGCUAACGUUUGAUUUCUCUUGCUGAAAUAAUCGUCCAUCGAACACUAAUAAUUGAAUUGCAAUAUCACGCAUACACACCAGCAAUAGUUUGGCAAAACAAAAAAAGCAAUUCAUUCUUUUUUAAUAAUGAUGCAUAAUAAUAAACUAAAUUACGGUUA
Molecule: unclassified non-coding RNA, 1067 nt
Filed under: Daphnia pulicaria
Lineage: Eukaryota; Metazoa; Arthropoda; Branchiopoda; Diplostraca; Daphniidae
Description: putative defense protein 3, transcript variant X1
Source: RNAcentral